GAUGAACGCUAGCGGCGUGCCUAACACAUGCAAGUCGAACGGGGUUAAUUCUUCGGAGUUAACUUAGUGGCGAACGGGUGAGUAACGCGUGAGCAACCUGCCUUCGAGAGGGGGAUAACACCGGGAAACUGGUGCUAAUACCCGCAUGAUGUAACGAGACCGCAUGAUCUUGUUACCAAAGGAGCAAUCCGCUCGAAGAUGGGCUCGCGUCUGAUUAGCUAGUUGGUGAGGUAACGGCCCACCAAGGCGACGAUCAGUAGCCGGACUGAGAGGUUGAACGGCCACAUUGGGACUGAGAUACGGCCCAGACUCCUACGGGAGGCAGCAGUGGGGAAUAUUGCACAAUGGGGGGAAACCCUGAUGCAGCAACGCCGCGUGAAGGAAGACGGUCUUCGGAUUGUAAACUUCUUUUCUCAAGGACGAUAAUGACGGUACUUGAGGAAUAAGCCACGGCUAACUACGUG
This 464-nucleotide ribosomal RNA is filed under the name uncultured bacterium. RNAcentral's name for it is "bacterial SSU rRNA". It matches the Rfam family "Bacterial small subunit ribosomal RNA", at positions 28 to 507 of the family's 1533-position model. The record is from RNAcentral.